AUCGGGUAAAGUCAACCAGUAUUAUAAAUACCCGAAACUGCCGUCAAUUGGACGCAUUUGCGCGCAUGCGUGGUUCCAGUACGGAUCGAGUAGACGGACGUCAGAAGCUUCAUUAUUACAGAUCGUGUUUGGUUUACUGGAGAACUGCUUAUUAAUCAGCCAUGUCCGAAAGAAAAGUCUUAAAUAAAUACUACCCCCCGGAUUUUGAUCCAUCAAAAAUCCCUAAAUUAAAACGCCCUAAAGAUCGUCAGUAUGUUGUUCGACUGAUGGCUCCUUUUAACAUGAGGUGUAAGACUUGUGGAGAGUACAUCUACAAAGGAAGGAAGUUUAAUGCUCGGAAAGAGACGGUGCAAAAUGAGCUGUAUUUGGGCGUGCCCAUCUUUCGUUUUUAUAUUAAAUGCACGAUAUGUCUGGCAGAGAUCACGUUUAAGACCGACCCUGAAAACACCGAUUACAUAAUGGAACAUGGUGCAACGAGAAACUUUCAAGCCGAGAAGCUGAUUGAAGAAGAGGAGAAGAGGAUCCAGCAGAAGAGAGAGGAAGAGGAGUUAAAUAAUCCUAUUAAGGUGUUAGAGAACCGAACACGGGACUCAAGGUUGGAGAUGAAAGUCCUGGAGAACCUGCAGGAGCUAAAGGAGCUGAAUCAGCGACAGGCUCGGGUGGAUUUUGAGUCCAUGCUGCAGCAGUCCAGUGACCUGGAGAAGAGACGGAAGGAACAGGAGCAGGAGGAGGAUGAAAGAGAACUUCAAGAAAUGCUGGAGAUGGCGCGGGUGAAAAGGCUGAGGGAUUCGGACUCGGAUUUAAACUCGGACUCUGAUCAGGAGCAAGAAAACGUGAAAAAGAUGCUUAAAAGGCUUAAAAAGGCUCGUGCUUAUGAGAAAUCCACAGACAUCCUGACUGCAGGCACAGAAACAUAUACAAAGAGAGUUUUUGUUCCAAACACUAUCCAAUAGACAAAUGAUGCCAGCUGAUUCAGAGGAACUUGUAGGGUAGAUGUUCCACAUGAACUUAAAUGAAAUAGGGCUGUUGUUAGAGCGACUAUUUACAGCUGCUGUAAACGUGUCAACGUGUUUGGAGUGAAGCGUAAGAAAUGUGAGUUUUACAGCUGGGGAGAACUAAAGUCACUAGUAUCGAGGAAGAAGCCUGCAGCAAUAGCUAGAGCACAACAGCCUGUUGCUGGAACUCAGACUGGU
This is an RNA transcript of Silurus meridionalis, 1193 nucleotides long. It is a transcript of the gene named splicing factor YJU2-like, with no coding region annotated. Lineage: Eukaryota; Metazoa; Chordata; Actinopteri; Siluriformes; Siluridae. The transcript is spliced from 8 exons. The record is from RefSeq and is a predicted model, not a curated record.